AGAAUCAACGCUGGCGGCGUGCCUAACACAUGCAAGUCGAACGAGAAAGUGGAGCAAUCCAUGAGUAAAGUGGCGCACGGGUGAGUAACACGUGACUAACCUACCCUUGAGUGGGGGAUAAACCUAGGGAAACCUGGGCUAAUACCGCAUAAUACCUUCGGGUCAAAGGAGCAAUUCGCUUAAGGAGGGGUCGCGGCCGAUUAGUUAGUUGGCGGGGUAAUGGCCCACCAAGACUGUGAUCGGUA
RNAcentral lists this ribosomal RNA (245 nucleotides) under uncultured bacterium. Its description in RNAcentral is "partial small subunit ribosomal RNA". It matches the Rfam family "Bacterial small subunit ribosomal RNA", at positions 26 to 285 of the family's 1533-position model. The record is from RNAcentral.